GCCGGGCGUGGUGGCAUGCACCUGUAGUCCCAGCUACUUGGGAGGCUGAGGUGGGAGGAUCGCUUGAGCCCAGGAGGUCAAGGUUGCAGUGAGCUAAGAUCACACCACUGCACUCCAGCCUGGGCAACAGAGCAACACCCCAUCUCAA
RNAcentral lists this non-coding RNA (148 nucleotides) under Gorilla gorilla gorilla (western lowland gorilla). Lineage: Eukaryota; Metazoa; Chordata; Mammalia; Primates; Hominidae. The record is from Rfam by way of RNAcentral.